CAGAGACUGCAAGCGUUAUUCGGAUUCACUGGGCGUAAAGGGUGCGCAGGCGGCCAAGUGUGUUAGGCGUGAAAGCCUGGGGCUUAACCCCAGAAUUGCACCUAAAACUACAUGGCUAGAGCAUUGGAGAGGGUAGCGGAAUUCACGGUGUAGCAGUGAAAUGCGUAGAUAUCGUGAGGAACACCAGAGGCGAAGGCGGCUACCUGGACAAUUGCUGACGCUCAGGCACGAAAGCGUGGGGAGCAAAAGGGAUUAGAUACCCUGUAGUCCACGCCCUAAACGGUGCACACUAGGUCUUGGCGGAUUCGACCCCACCAGGGCCCAAGCUAAUGCGUUAAGUGUGCCGCCUGAGGACUACGGUCGCAAGACUA
Molecule: ribosomal RNA, 371 nt
Filed under: uncultured organism
Description: bacterial SSU rRNA
Rfam family: Bacterial small subunit ribosomal RNA
Source: RNAcentral